GACGAACGCUGGCGGCGUGCUUAACACAUGCAAGUCGAGCGGUAAGGCCCCUUCUUUGGUACACGCUCGGCUAACGAGUGAGUAACACGUACGCAAUUUGCCCAUCACUUCGGGUUGACUCCCUUCAGCCGACUCUAACUCCUACUACGUCCACCUCCGGCCUCGGUUGGUGGUGGUAAAUUGCGGCGGUGGUGGAUGAGAUCGUCGCCUAUCAGCUUGUUGGUGGGGUAACGGUGAACCAAGGCUUCGACGGGUAGCCGGCCUGAGAGGGUGACCGGCCACACUGGGACUGAGACACGGCCCAGACUCCUACGGGAGGCAGCAGCGGGGAAUAUUGGACAAUGGGCGAAAGCCUGAUGCAGCAACGCCGCGUGAGGGAUGACGGCCUUCGGGUUGUAAACCGCUUUCAGCAGUGACGAAGCGCAAGUGACGGUAACUGCAGAAGAAGCACCGGCCAACUACGUG
Molecule: ribosomal RNA, 465 nt
Filed under: uncultured bacterium
Lineage: Bacteria
Description: partial 16S ribosomal RNA
Rfam family: Bacterial small subunit ribosomal RNA
Source: RNAcentral